Molecule: transfer RNA, 72 nt
Filed under: bacterium
Lineage: Bacteria
Description: tRNA-Asn
Rfam family: tRNA
About the family: Transfer RNA (tRNA) molecules are approximately 80 nucleotides in length. Their secondary structure includes four short double-helical elements and three loops (D, anti-codon, and T loops). Further hydrogen bonds mediate the characteristic L-shaped molecular structure. tRNAs have two regions of fundamental functional importance: the anti-codon, which is responsible for specific mRNA codon recognition, and the 3' end, to which the tRNAs corresponding amino acid is attached (by aminoacyl-tRNA synthetases). tRNAs cope with the degeneracy of the genetic code in two manners: having more than one tRNA (with a specific anti-codon) for a particular amino acid; and 'wobble' base-pairing, i.e. permitting non-standard base-pairing at the 3rd anti-codon position.
Source: RNAcentral
UGCUCGAUAGCACAACGGUAGUGCGGCGCACUGUUAAUGCGUAGGUUCUAGGUUCGAAUCCUAGUCGAGCAG